This 806-nucleotide ribosomal RNA is filed under the name uncultured bacterium. RNAcentral's name for it is "bacterial SSU rRNA". It matches the Rfam family "Bacterial small subunit ribosomal RNA", at positions 636 to 1442 of the family's 1533-position model. The record is from RNAcentral.
UNUGACUUGAGUGCAGAAGGGGAGAGUGGAAUUCCAUGUGUAGCGGUGAAAUGCGUAGAUAUAUGGAGGAACACCAGUGGCGAAAGCGGCUCUCUGGUCUGUCACUGACGCUGAGGCUCGAAAGCGUGGGUAGCGAACAGGAUUAGAUACCCUGGUAGUNCACGCCGUAAACGAUGAGUGCUAGGUGUUAGGCCCUUUCCGGGGCUUAGUGCCGGAGCUAACGCAAUAAGCACUCCGCCUGGGGAGUACGACCGCAAGGUUGAAACUCAAAGGAAUUGACGGGGGCCCGCACAAGCGGUGGAGCAUGUGGUUUAAUUCGAAGCAACGCGAAGAACCUUACCAGGUCUUGACAUCCCGAUGCUAUUCUUAGAGAUAGGAAGUUACUUCGGUACAUCGGAGACAGGUGGUGCAUGGUUGUCGUCAGCUCGUGUCGUGAGAUGUUGGGUUAAGUCCCGCAACGAGCGCAACCCUUAUUGUUAGUUGCCAUCAUUAAGUUGGGCACUCUAGCGAGACUGCCGGUAAUAAACCGGAGGAAGGUGGGGAUGACGUCAAAUCAUCAUGCCCCUUAUGACCUGGGCUACACACGUGCUACAAUGGUCGGUACAACGAGUUGCGAGCCGGUGACGGCAAGCUAAUCUCUGAAAGCCGAUCUCAGUUCGGAUUGGAGGCUGCAACUCGCCUCCAUGAAGUCGGAAUCGCUAGUAAUCGCGGAUCAGCACGCCGCGGUGAAUACGUUCCCGGGCCUUGUACACACCGCCCGUCACACCACGAGAGUUUGUAACACCCGAAGUCGGUGAGGUANCCUU